RNAcentral lists this ribosomal RNA (363 nucleotides) under Triticum aestivum (bread wheat). RNAcentral describes it as "partial small subunit ribosomal RNA". The record is from RNAcentral. Lineage: Eukaryota; Viridiplantae; Streptophyta; Magnoliopsida; Poales; Poaceae.
AUGGAUCUUGGACAUGAACUUCGGAUUUACAUUGACAAUGUCCGAGCAGACCAAAGAUUUGCCAAUUUGGAUGGCAUUGCGGAUCUUUCUAAAAAGUUGGUGGAUACUAAGAAGCAUCUUCCUUUCCCUUUGGUGUAUCAACUUCUAAAGCUAGUGCUAAUUUUGCCGGUUGCCACAGCGUCAGUGGAGAGAUGCUUUUCAGCAAUGAAUAUUGUGAAGAGUGUUUUACGCAACAAAAUGGGUGACCAGUUCAUGAGUGAUUGCUUGAUUUGCUAUGUGGAGAAAGAUAUAUUUGCUACCAUUACGAAUGACGCCGUAAUUGAUCUAUUUAAGAAGAUGGGAGAUCGAGAAGGCAAGUUAUAA